UACGUAGGGACCAAGCGUUGUUCGGAUUUACUGGGCGUAAAGGGCGCGUAGGCGGCAAUUCAAGUCAGUUGUGAAAGCUCUGGGCUUAACCCAGAAAGGUCAACUGAUACUGCGGGGCUAGAGUGCAGAAGGGGCAACUGGAAUUCUCGGUGUAGCGGUGAAAUGCGUAGAUAUCGAGAGGAACACCUGCGGCGAAGGCGGGUUGCUGGGCUGACACUGACGCUGAAGUGCGAAAGCUAGGGGAGCGAACGGG
This 253-nucleotide ribosomal RNA is filed under the name uncultured bacterium. RNAcentral describes it as "partial 16S ribosomal RNA". It matches the Rfam family "Bacterial small subunit ribosomal RNA", at positions 524 to 776 of the family's 1533-position model. The record is from RNAcentral.